RNAcentral lists this long non-coding RNA (836 nucleotides) under Chinchilla lanigera (long-tailed chinchilla). Its description in RNAcentral is "lncRNA (ENSCLAG00000024726.1)". Lineage: Eukaryota; Metazoa; Chordata; Mammalia; Rodentia; Chinchillidae. The record is from RNAcentral.
AACCUUCUAGAAAGUCCUGGCUGGGCAUGGUGGUACACUCUCAGCACUCGGGAGGCUGAGGCAGGAGGAUCCUUGCGAGUUUGAGACCAGCCUGGGCUACAAAGUGAGCUCAAGGCCAGCCUGAGCUGCAUAUCAAGACCCUGCCUCAAAAAGACAAAAAGAAAAGUCCUACAGGUGCCCUGAGAAGCUCACAGCCUCUCCUCUGCUGCCCACCAGAAAGGUUCCCCCAGUUCUGUUCCCCGGGGACCCAGCCCGGCCAGUGCAGAGAGCCACCGUGGGACACGAGGACCUGGACACCCGGAGGACCUAAGUGUCCUCCGCGGCACGUGGCCGGGGGACCUCAGGGGGCUCCAUGUCCACGUGGAAAGCUCCAUGCCCACCCUCUCGCCGGUGCUGAGGGCCGUGGGACGCUGCGCAGGGGUGACGCACGCGCGUUAGGGGCAGUGCUCUGCGCGCGCCUAGUCCCUCAGUGUGACGUCCCGCCGCGUUGCGGGCACUUGCCGGGGGAUCCCGCCACCCUGGCGCGAGAACGUCUGCAAGCAGCGGAAACAAAGCAAGAGGAACCAGGGAGCCCGUGUGCGUGCGGAGAGGGGCCGCUGUGUCGAGGCGUCGCCAGCUGGUGGAGAGCCUGCAAUGAGGGUACUUUUCCCAGACAGGGCCUGGGGCCACCACUGCUCAGAGCCGCCCCUCAGCCAUACUGCCUCCUCCUGGAAGCACAAACACAAGACAGCCUCAGCCCGGUGCCCAGGAGCCAGGCUGGGGCUCCAGUUUUGAUUCUCAUCUGAAGCAUUUACAAUCAAAUUCAUGGAAGAUUCUAACAAGUACUACAAACAAAU